AAACCACCAUCCAAAUUAAUAUCCACCAUUAGAGCCACUUAAACUCACAAAAUAAACUGCUAUGGUGGCAGUUCUCAGCAGUUUCUUCUGCCUUCAACCCACGUCUUACUAGCAGUUCCCUUUUCUACGUCUUCAACCCACAUCUUACUAGCAUUUAUUGAUAAAAUUAUUCAGUUCCCUUUAAAAUCCUCACUCCCUUGAAACAACCCCACUCACCUCUCUUUCUCUACGCUCACAUAUUGCAAAAUAGGGAAGAAGCAGAGAUAAGAUUUGGCAAGAGAAUAAAUUAGGGCAUCAUGAUGACGACGUCUCCUUCAUAAACUCAAGCCCUCAAACGAUCCCCAACGCUCUCUAAUGUAGUGAUGUUUCCAAGAUUUCUCCAUUUUUGUCGGAUCUGAAUAUUCUUCGAUGGAAGCACACGACGUCAGUUUCCGCCAUGUUCUGGUUUUGCGUCGCUGUAAGAAAGGUUUAAUGAUAUAGUUGGAACUUGGAAGUGCAUAUUAUGUCGCACCAUUAAAGUUCUGCAUAGAUCAUACAGCUUGGAAGCAGAUAUAUGGAGUGUUGGGGUUAUUAAGUGAAUACCAUUUUGGGCAAGCAUAGAAGCAUGAAUAUUUUGUGCGGUUUUGAGGGCAGACCUAAUUUUGAUGAUAUAUCGUGGUCUUCUGUAUCACCAGAAACUCAGAAAGUAAAGAUUUUGUUAAAAAGGCUUCUAAUUGAGGACUAUAAAAAAGAAUGAGUGCUGCUCAAUCUCUCCACAUAAGUUUAGUUCCAGUCGCAUGUGGGAUGACAGCUCAUCCAUGGUUUUCAAUUGAGAGUCAUCCAAUUCCUUUAGAUAUAUUGAUUUACAAACCACCAUUCAAACUGAUGCACUCAAGGUACUUUCAAAAGCUCUGAUAGAGAAUGAAUUCAUUUAUCUUAGAUCCCAAUUUAUGCUUUUAGAACCAAACAAAGGUGAGAUGGGCACGUGUAUCUCUUGACAACUUCAGAAUGGUAAUAGUUUGCUUCCAGUUUAAAAAUGAUGGUUAUUUCUUUUCAGUUUUCAUUUAUAUUAAUAUGUUAUCUCUUGAAGCUUACUCUUUACUUGUAAGUUUAUUGUUACUUUUAUAACAUUGGAGGUGAGUUUGAGCGGAACCGGAUAUAGUUAGAAGCUGAAGACCUUACUUUAGACAUUAGGAGUGGAAAAAUAGUUGGGUCGGGUAGAAUUGAUAAUGGGUCGAUUCAAGUUGUUUUAUAGUACUGGGCAGAACGGGUCAAGCAGACCCCCAAUUCCCUAGACACCUUUUCUUGAUAGUUGAGCUUUGUAAGUUUUUAGUUUGUUAAAAUAUCUUAUAUACUUCACUAUUAUAGUUACAAUUUAACUUGUGGUUACUAAAGAAAUCUAUGAGCAUUGGAAUAUUGGAUGGCUUUUGGCCCGUUUGACAUGUUACCUUUUAGAGUUAAAUAUUUUAGCUUAACUCAUUUGACCCGUGACUUAAAUCAACUCAUUUUGUGUGCGCGCGUGUGUGUGUAUAUAUAAAUGGGUCAAAAUUACUAAGCGAUAACAUAAUUUUUGCACUGGUAUGAGAAAUAUACUGAUGUGGAUGAUGUCAUACGUGGGAGUACCAAGUUAGUGUUUGUUUGGAUUUGUGCUUAAAACUUUCUCAGCAUUAUAUCCUGAGGCAUGUUAGUGAAACUCACCUUUUUGUCUUUUUUUUUCACCGUUAUCUAUAAUAUCUUAUAUGCUAAGUUAGCGUUUGUUUGGAUUUGUGCUUAAAAGUGUUAUGUGAUACUGAAUAAUCUUAAUCAAAUAAUCAGCUGAAAUAGUCAUCUAAAAAUUGGCCAUUUGAUGAGGUUGACCGUUAUCUUGGAGCAAGAUAUAUCCAGUGAGCAUCUCGAAAGAUUCUUCAUAUCCGAAAUUAUUAGAGAAUAUAGCUUCAUGCAGUUUUGUAACGAGGUUCCUUACUUGUGUCAUGUAAAUGUUAUAAAUUACCAAACCAGGCCUAAUUCAAAAGACUUCAUUCAAGUUGAUGGGGCUAAAUCCUUUGCAGUUAUCAUGGACUUUUGAAAAAGCAGGUGCAAAGCUAGAGCGGCGAUGGAAAUUUAGACCAACUGAGAAUAAGAGGAAGAAAGCUGUCUCAUGAUGGAUGCUAAACCACGCCUAAGUGUAAGAGUGACUUACAUAUCAAAGGAUUCAGAUCUAAGUUUUCAUUUUUAAUAAAGGAAAGUCAAAGGUAUUUUGAAGCCUACUGGGAAUUCUGCUCGUGGCAUGAUGCAUGAGGUUUCAUGUAAAGGGUCUAAUAAAGGAAGAGACACAUGUUUGGUUGUGCAGCCAGACUCUUCUGGCGAGGUUGGACCCCCUGGAUACCGACUUGAUGAAGUGAGUCCAAAUGAGCCUGGUCAGAUGGAUUUAGGUGAUGUUAUGAGUCAUGUGAACCCAACCGGUGAAGUCAAUGUGAAUGAUCCAGAUAACUUUAGAAUAAAUGGUGAGGAUUCAGAUGCAGUUAGCUAAAGCCGAAGUUGAUGAUCUCAGAACGGGCCAGGACCCAUGUUUACAGAUCACUGAUAAUUUCUUUUUGAAUUUGUUUUGAUUUGGUAUGCUUUUAGGACAUUUAUUUUUGCUGAAAAUGGUUUGAGAUAACUGAUGCUUACUGCCAUUUUGUUCAAAUGCAUUGCAAUUUUGUGUGGUUAUAAAAUGCAAUUGACAUAGAAUGGACAUGGUCAAAUUUGCACUGUCAUUUUGUUAAUAAUGAAUUGCAAUAUGUCAA
Long non-coding RNA from Helianthus annuus (common sunflower), 2744 nucleotides. RefSeq lists it as uncharacterized. Lineage: Eukaryota; Viridiplantae; Streptophyta; Magnoliopsida; Asterales; Asteraceae. The transcript has 5 exons. The record is from RefSeq and is a predicted model, not a curated record.